Pelobates fuscus (common spadefoot toad) is the source of this 300-nucleotide long non-coding RNA. RefSeq lists it as uncharacterized. The transcript is spliced from 3 exons. Lineage: Eukaryota; Metazoa; Chordata; Amphibia; Anura; Pelobatidae. The record is from RefSeq and is a predicted model, not a curated record.
CCUUCGUAGCAUCCCCCCUCUCGACCUCCAAAGACGCCAACAUUCCUGCCGACGUCUUCCGGGAUCUUGUCCAAUUCAAUGCUUCUCAAAGACAAACACUGGAGACAAUAACAUAUGUGCAGCACAACUUGGUUCUGGAGAAAGAAGCCUCCCAAAACAAUGUUUUACAUUGCAGGAUGCCUGAACUCAUAUGACGUCCCUGCAGCAACACGGGAUGAUAAUGUUCUCUAGACACCGAAGUUCUGCUGAUGUUCAAUGUGGACACUUCUGCCAUCCUCUGACAGACGCUCCUGCGUUCUC